AAGUCGUAACAAGGUUUCCGUAGGUGAACCUGCGGAAGGAUCAUUAACACUAAUGAAAUCCAAAACCUUUUGGAUCAACCCAACCUUUAGCGAACCGAUCGUUUUUCUUUCUCCUUGCCCCUUUUUUUAUCAAACCCAACUUAUCUGAUGUAAAGUGUCUGAUUUCAUAUAUUCUCCACGACGCCUUGAUUGGCUCGGAGGGAAUCAAAAUCUAACGCAAUACAACUCUUAACAACGGAUAUCUUGGCUCUC
Molecule: unclassified non-coding RNA, 252 nt
Filed under: fungal sp.
Lineage: Eukaryota; Fungi
Description: partial internal transcribed spacer region
Rfam family: Eukaryotic small subunit ribosomal RNA (bases 1-46)
Source: RNAcentral